RNAcentral lists this ribosomal RNA (870 nucleotides) under uncultured organism. RNAcentral describes it as "bacterial SSU rRNA". It matches the Rfam family "Bacterial small subunit ribosomal RNA", at positions 27 to 888 of the family's 1533-position model. The record is from RNAcentral.
GAACGAACGCUGGCGGCGCGUUUUAAGCAUGCAAGUCGAGGGGUAGAGAAUCUUCGGAUUCUUGAGACCGGCGAACGGGUGAGUAACACGUAGGUGAUCUGCCACGAGGUUGGGGAUAGCCCAUGGAAACAUGGGGUAAUACCGAAUGAGCUCUUUUUACUAUGGUGAGAAGAGGAAAAGCGCUUCGGCGCUGCCUUGUGAUGAGCCUGCGGCUGAUUAGCUUGUUGGUGGGGUAACGGCCUACCAAGGCAACGAUCGGUAGCCGGCCUGAGAGGGUGAUCGGCCACACUGGGACUGAGAUACGGCCCAGACUCCUACGGGAGGCAGCAGCUAAGAAUCUUCCGCAAUGGACGAAAGUCUGACGGAGCGACGCCGCGUGGGUGAAGAAGGCCGAGAGGUUGUAAAGCCCUUUUCUGUCUGAGGAAUAAGCUUGGGAGGGAAUGCCCGAGUGAUGACGGUAGGACAGGAAUAAGCCCCGGCUAAUUACGUGCCAGCAGCCGCGGUAACACGUAUGGGGCGAGCGUUGUUCGGAAUUAUUGGGCGUAAAGGGCGCGUAGGCGGAUAUACAAGUCUGGUGUGAAAGACCGCAGCUUAACUGCGGGAGCGCGCUGGAAACUGUAUGUCUUGAAUCCUUGAGGGGAAACUGGAAUUCCUGGUGUAGGGGUGAAAUCUGUAGAUAUCAGGAAGAACAUCGGUGGCGAAGGCGAGUUUCUGGCAAGUGAUUGACGCUGAGGCGCGAAAGCGUGGGGAGCAAACAGGAUUAGAUACCCUGGUAGUCCACGCUGUAAACGAUGUGCACUAGGCGUUGGGGUGUUGAAACCUCAGUGCCGGAGCUAACGUGGUAAGUGCACCGACUGGGGAGUAUGCCGG